AUCUCACGUCACAUGACUGCUCCAUUCCUCCUCCCAGUGGGCGGGACAAGAGAAAUUCGUGCAGAGAGACAGAGAGAGAAGCAGCGGGGCCCCUAUGGAGGUCUGCGUGUGAGAGAUCUGCAGUGCAGAACAAACCCAGUCAUAUUAAGCUGCUGGCUGCUUUCCACUGCCUCCGGAUGUCACAGCCUGCGGGUUCUUUUUGGUGUUUGUCCAGGUUCCUCCCGUCUCUGCCGAGUUUCUCACUUUAGAAGAUGAUGGGCUACACAUUACGUUUCAGUUGUUUCCAGUUGUCCUGACUAAGAUUCUACUACGUUUUCAAAA
This is a long non-coding RNA of Spea bombifrons (plains spadefoot toad), 321 nucleotides long. RefSeq lists it as uncharacterized. Lineage: Eukaryota; Metazoa; Chordata; Amphibia; Anura; Pelobatidae. The transcript is spliced from 3 exons. The record is from RefSeq and is a predicted model, not a curated record.